RNAcentral lists this ribosomal RNA (500 nucleotides) under uncultured Glomeromycotina. Its description in RNAcentral is "partial small subunit ribosomal RNA". It matches the Rfam family "Eukaryotic small subunit ribosomal RNA", at positions 591 to 1092 of the family's 1831-position model. Lineage: Eukaryota; Fungi; Glomeromycota. The record is from RNAcentral.
CCAAUAGCGUAUAUUAAAGUUGUUGCAGUUAAAAAGCUCGUAGUUGAACCUCGGGAUCAAUGGAUCGGUCAUGCCAUCGGUAUGUACUGGUCUCAUUGGUUCUCACCUUCUAAGGAACCAUGAUGUCAUUCAGUUGAUGUUGUGGGGAAUUAGGACUGUUACCUUGAAAAAAUUAGAGUGUUUAAAGCAGGCUAACGCUUGAAUACAUUAGCAUGGAAUAAUGAAAUAGGACAUCGCAUUCUAUUUUGUUGGUUUCUAGGAUCGAUGUGAUGAUUAAUAGGGAUAGUUGGGGGCAUUAGUAUUCAAUUGUCAGAGGUGAAAUUCUUGGAUUUAUUGAAGACUAACUACUGCGAAAGCAUUUGCCAAGGAUGUUUUCAUUAAUCAAGAACGAAAGUUAGGGGAUCGAAGACGAUCAGAUACCGUCGUAGUCUUAACCAUAAACUAUGCCGACUAGGGAUCGGAUGAUGUUGAUUUUUUAAUGACUCAUUCGGCACCUUACG